GUGUUGCGGCCACGCCCCCGUGGGCACCGCCCCUCUGAGCCACGUGAGCAGGAACCAGUUGUGGCGUCCUAGCCACGCUCGUUCAAUCCACCGUAACCGAUAGAAUGAGUAUAUUGGCUGCUGCCACUCCCUCCAGCCGCUCUUCUCCCGGUGUGACAAACGGCACGUCGCCGGCAAGGUUUCCUGCCCCGCUCCCCGGGUCCACGUGACUCAGCCCGCCAUGCUGGAGGCAGAAGCGCGCUCGUCUGCAUUCUUCUUUAGCCUGGUGGAUCAGGAUUCCCAGUGGCUUUACUAGGAGCUUGGCGUGACCUGGAUGGCACCCGCACACCUCCCUGCAGAAGGGAAGGCUUUGGGAAAGGACCGCUGGCACGAGGGUCUCGCCGCCGCCAGCGGGGCACUUUGCACGAUGUAAACAACAAAACGAUGUGAAAUAGCAUGUAAGUCCUCAGGGACCUAGAAAGUAAUGGCAUACUUCAAGCAGACUAGAAAGACCACACCACAAACCUUUGCUCAAACAUGGGCACCAGACUUCUCCAGGAUCUAAGUUUUACUGACCACAGAGACAUUACAGGUGCUAAUGCCAACCCAAAAUGAUUAUCAUGUGCAAGGAGAAGACAGUUCGGCUGAAUACAAGACACUGUAAAUUCGAGCUGCCCGAAGGUGGAAAAGACUCCUAGGACUGGUAAUGAAGACCCCAUUUCUGGAAGGGCUCAAGUAGAAGCAAAAUGACUGGUUAGCAGAAGCAUUCAAGAAUUAAAAAUGGGAUGACUUUCCAAAAUCUCCACAGUAAAUAUACCUUAUUUUUGUAAUCAGGGAAAAAACAUGGCCUAAAAAUAAGAAUCUUACAGAGAAUUAGAUCAUAUCAUCUUUUAAAUCCCUUUCAACUCUAUAAAUCCUUGUAAUCACUUA
Long non-coding RNA from Loxodonta africana (African savanna elephant), 909 nucleotides. RefSeq lists it as uncharacterized. The record is from RefSeq and is a predicted model, not a curated record. The transcript is spliced from 2 exons. Lineage: Eukaryota; Metazoa; Chordata; Mammalia; Proboscidea; Elephantidae.